UCGGGAAUUUUGGGCAAUGGGGGCAACCCUGACCCAGCAACGCCGCGUGAGGGAUGAAGGCCUUCGGGUCGUAAACCUCUGUCGGGAGGGAAGAAAGGUCGCUGUUCGAAUAGGGCAGAGGCUUGACGGUACCUCCAAAGGAAGGACCGGCUAACUCCGUGCCAGCAGCCGCGGUAAUACGGAGGGUCCGAGCGUUGUUCGGAAUCAUUGGGCGUAAAGCGCGUGUAGGCGGCUUGGCAAGUCGGGUGUGAAAGCCCGGGGCUCAACCCCGGAACUGCACUCGAAACUGCCUCGCUCGAGUCCCGGAGAGGAAGGCGGAAUUCCCGGUGUAGGUGUGAAAUCCGUAGAUAUCGGGAGGAACACCAGUGGCGAAGGCGGCCUUCUGGACGGUGACUGACGCUGAGACGCGAAAGCGUGGGGAGCAAACAGGAUUAGAUACCCGCGUAGUCC
RNAcentral lists this ribosomal RNA (450 nucleotides) under uncultured prokaryote. RNAcentral describes it as "bacterial SSU rRNA". It matches the Rfam family "Bacterial small subunit ribosomal RNA", at positions 355 to 796 of the family's 1533-position model. The record is from RNAcentral.